GGCUGGUCCGAUGGCAGUGGGUUAUCAGAACUUAUUAACAUUAGUGUCACUAAAGUUGGUAUAUCACCCCCACACACACUGCUAAAUUUGACUGACUUAAA
Cavia aperea (Brazilian guinea pig) is the source of this 101-nucleotide unclassified non-coding RNA. It matches the Rfam family "Y RNA". From Rfam's summary of the family: Y RNAs are components of the Ro ribonucleoprotein particle (Ro RNP), in association with Ro60 and La proteins. The Y RNAs and Ro60 and La proteins are well conserved, but the function of the Ro RNP is not known. Lineage: Eukaryota; Metazoa; Chordata; Mammalia; Rodentia; Caviidae. The record is from Ensembl.